Molecule: ribosomal RNA, 450 nt
Filed under: uncultured bacterium
Lineage: Bacteria
Description: bacterial SSU rRNA
Rfam family: Bacterial small subunit ribosomal RNA
Source: RNAcentral
AACGAACGCUGGCGGCAUGCCUAACACAUGCAAGUCGAACGAAGCCUUCGGGCUUAGUGGCGCACGGGUGCGUAACGCGUGGGAAUCUGCCCUUGGGUUCGGAAUAACAGUUAGAAAUGACUGCUAAUACCGGAUAAUGUCUUCGGACCAAAGAUUUAUCGCCCAGGGAUGAGCCCGCGUAGGAUUAGCUAGUUGGUGAGGUAAAGGCUCACCAAGGCGACGAUCCUUAGCUGGUCUGAGAGGAUGAUCAGCCACACUGGGACUGAGACACGGCCCAGACUCCUACGGGAGGCAGCAGUGGGGAAUAUUGGACAAUGGGCGAAAGCCUGAUCCAGCAAUGCCGCGUGAGUGAUGAAGGCCUUAGGGUUGUAAAGCUCUUUUACCCGGGAUGAUAAUGACAGUACCGGGAGAAUAAGCCCCGGCUAACUCCGUGCCAGCAGCCGCGGUAAU